UACAGAGGUCUCAAGCGUUGUUCGGAUUCAUUGGGCGUAAAGGGUGCGUAGGCGGCGCGGUAAGUCGGGUGUGAAAUCUCGGAGCUUAACUUCGAAACUGCAUUCGAAACUGCCGUGCUUGAGGACUGGAGAGGAGACUGGAAUUUACGGUGUAGCGGUGAAAUGCGUAGAUAUCGUAAGGAAGACCAGUGGCGAAGGCGGGUCUCUGGACAGUUCCUGACGCUGAGGCACGAAGGUCAGGGGAGCAAACGGG
RNAcentral lists this ribosomal RNA (253 nucleotides) under uncultured bacterium. RNAcentral describes it as "partial 16S ribosomal RNA". It matches the Rfam family "Bacterial small subunit ribosomal RNA", at positions 524 to 776 of the family's 1533-position model. The record is from RNAcentral.